GGGGGCGAAAUGGUUUCGACGGGUGGGUGGAAACUGUUCUGGCAUGCCGGGGGUCCGUGCCCCGAUAGUAAACGGAAAAACAAAUAAGUGCGAACAGCACCAAUUAUGCUCUGGCUGCUUAAUCCAGAGCCGUUCUUUCAGAAUCUCUUCCGUCGGUUCUGAAAAGAACGCCGGUCAGACGGGAUAGUUUUCAGGUAAGAUUCCAGACCUGAAAGCGAAAAUUUUAGUGGAAUCUUUUUUCCGGACAGUUGCCGGCUUACUGUUCGGAAAGAAAACCAAUGAGCCAGUGCUAAGCAUGUAGAAGGAACAGUGGAAAGCAUCCGGACCCGGGUUCGAUUCCCGGCGCCUCCACAA
Molecule: transfer-messenger RNA, 354 nt
Filed under: Deltaproteobacteria bacterium
Lineage: Bacteria; Pseudomonadati; Myxococcota; Myxococcia
Also listed under: 1 other name
Rfam family: transfer-messenger RNA
About the family: Bacterial tmRNA, also known as 10Sa RNA or SsrA, is named for its dual tRNA and mRNA-like properties. Its role is to liberate the mRNA from a stalled ribosome.
Source: RNAcentral